This 448-nucleotide ribosomal RNA is filed under the name uncultured bacterium. Its description in RNAcentral is "bacterial SSU rRNA". It matches the Rfam family "Bacterial small subunit ribosomal RNA", at positions 355 to 825 of the family's 1533-position model. The record is from RNAcentral.
UGGGGAAUAUUGGACAAUGGGCGCAAGCCUGAUCCAGCCAUGCCGCGUGGGUGAUGAAGGCCCUAGGGUUGUAAAGCCCUUUCGGCGGGGAAGAUAAUGACGGUACCCGCAGAAGAAGCCCCGGCUAACUUCGUGCCAGCAGCCGCGGUAAUACGAAGGGGGCUAGCGUUGCUCGGAAUCACUGGGCGUAAAGCGCACGUAGGCGGCUUCUUAAGUCGGUGGUGAAAUCCUGGAGCUCAACUCCAGAACUGCCUUCGAUACUGAGAGGCUCGAGUCCGGGAGAGGUGAGUGGAACUGCGAGUGUAGAGGUGAAAUUCGUAGAUAUUCGCAAGAACACCAGUGGCGAAGGCGGCUCACUGGCCCCGGUACUGACGCUGAGGUGCGAAAGCGUGGGGAGCAAACAGGAUUAGAUACCCUCGUAGUCCCUGAGCGGGCUGGCAAGGCGCAU